ACCCUUUUUUUUUUAUCACUCCUUCAAGAGUCAAAGGCCAUGGGCAUGAAAAGCUACUACCAAAAGUGAUCAUAGGGUUUUGAAUCCGCAGUCGGAGAGGAGUGAUGGAAAAUGAGGUUGCAAUCGAUGUUGAACCUCUUCUUGUAGAUAUUGUGGCAGUCGAAUUCAAGUGUCAAAGGAUUCUGAAGCGAAUAUUUUUGUGGAGGCUACAGAAGAAAUUUAUAUGCAGGAGUCGUCUGUAAAGCUUGAUGCGGAGCAAGUUAUUAAUGGGGAGGUACCUGUAGACAACACCGGAGAUUCUAUCUCUUUGGGAGUUAAUGGAAUGUCUAACGAUGACCAUGGGACUGAAAAUUUGAAGAGGCGAUCGGGCUUCUGGGAAAUGAACUCAACGAAACUGUUUAUGAGGUUGGAGUUGCAGACGGACCUGCCAAUGUGGAACAUAAGGCCGAGGAACUUGUCCCAGUGGAAUCAAACAGGCUGGAUGAUGGUUCAGUUGGUUUUGGAGAAACUGUUGUCAAUCUUGGUGAUGAUCCAGGCAAUGAACCUAAUGAAAAUUUUUAUGAGGUUGGAGUUGCAGAUGGACCUGCCAAUGUAAAAGAUAAGGCCAAGGAAGUUGUGGCAGUGGAAUCAAAUGGAGGAGAGGGUUUGAAGGAACGGCUCUAGCAUUUUUUUUUUUAGAUUCAACUCUAGCAUUAGUGUAAUUAAAUGGACUAUUCUCUAUUAAACCAUAGCCCCUUAGAGAACCUUGCCAAGCAACAUUACCAGUGGCGAGCCUUGCUGCAACUAUCUCUAGCGAUUGCAUCUUCCAAGAUCUUUAUCUCUAUAGAACCCAAUCCCCAACACUGCGGCCGCAUUCCUCUCCCAGCAUCUUUCCCUUUUUUUGCUCAAUUUCACUUCACAUCCACAAGCUACGUUUGCUAAACAAAAAUUUAUUUAUUUAUUUAUAUUGAGGAAUGAGUAUGUUUGUAGUUAUGUUGGAAUUUGAUUUAGCAAGAACCCUAGCUAUGCUCAUAGAUUUAUCUGAAUCUGUAAUGUUAUUUGUAUGGUGCAAUUAACUGGAGAAUUUUUUUUUACAUUAAA
This is a long non-coding RNA of Macadamia integrifolia, 1080 nucleotides long. RefSeq lists it as uncharacterized. The transcript has 2 exons. The record is from RefSeq and is a predicted model, not a curated record. Lineage: Eukaryota; Viridiplantae; Streptophyta; Magnoliopsida; Proteales; Proteaceae.